GACGAACGCUGGCGGCGUGCCUAAUACAUGCAAGUUGAGCGCUGAAGGUUGGUACUUGUACCGACUGGAUGAGCAGCGAACGGGUGAGUAACGCGUGGGGAAUCUGCCUUUUAGCGGGGGACAACAUUUGGAAACGAAUGCUAAUACCGCAUAAAAACUUUAAACACAAGUUUUAAGGUUGAAAGAUGCAAUUGCAUCACUCAAAGAUGAUCCCGCGUUGUAUUAGCUAGUUGGUGAGGUAAAGGCCCAACCAGGCGAUGAUACAUAGCCGACCUGAGAGGGUUAUCGGCCCCCUUGGGACUGAGACCCGGCCCCACCUCCUACGGGAGGCAACCGUAGGGAAUCUUCGGCCAUGGACGAAAGUCUGACCGCGCCCCGCCGCGGGAGUGGAGAGGGUUCUCGGAUCGUAAAACUCUGUUGGUAGAGAAGAACGUUGGUGAGAGUGGAAAGCUCAUCAAGUGACGGUAACUACACAGAAAGGGACGGCUAACUACGUG
Molecule: ribosomal RNA, 497 nt
Filed under: uncultured bacterium
Lineage: Bacteria
Description: partial 16S ribosomal RNA
Rfam family: Bacterial small subunit ribosomal RNA
Source: RNAcentral